Anas platyrhynchos (mallard) is the source of this 9165-nucleotide non-coding RNA. The record is from RefSeq and is a predicted model, not a curated record. Lineage: Eukaryota; Metazoa; Chordata; Aves; Anseriformes; Anatidae.
UUUGGAAUAUGGUUUAACGGUAACUCAGGGGCACCUUGCUGGAGUUGUGCAUAUUGCUGGGCAUCAUUUCUGCUUUUGCACAGGAACUUGGGCUUUGCUUUGGCUGGCAUCACCAAGGGGAUGCCAUGAAAGAGAAGGGAUCUUCCAUGUUUUUGUCUAACGUGACCAAGCUAAAGGCAAUCAUGGGUAAUGAGAGCAUCGUUUCUCCUCUGUAACACACUCUGCUUGCCCUGAGCUCAGCCUUUGCAAAGAAAUAGAGAAAUCUUUUGCUGGUUGUGCAGGGAGGUAUGGGAGUCUCUGCUGAAUCACAGGGUGUAAAAAUAGCCAAAAUGGUAAUGCUCUCCAGCAUUAUCUGUCUUGAAGAAAUGCAAACCCUCUCUGACCUACGCUGGGUCUAGCUGUGCAUGUAUGUCUCUGCUGAAACUUCCAGAGAUACCUCUUGCUGACAGCAGUGUAUCAGGAGGGAAAAAACUGCACAGUUCCUGAGAACCAGCUUUCCUACAAAUUAAUGCUAUGCAUUAUAUAAAAUAAAAUAUUAAAAACAAAUAAAAUAUAAAAAAAUAAAAAGAAAAAAGGUCACUACAGGUUAGUUUUGAUGACUACUCUCUGGAAAAAAAAAAAAAAAAGAUCAUAUGAUGACUAAAUCUGCAGUGAACCUUCUAGCCAAAAGGGCUGUAGGGGUUUUUCACCAGUGCUCAAAUUAUUCUUGCUUAGAAAGACAGAAAAAAUGGAAAAGGACAUCUUGUCUUUAUAUCUUGGGUUGCAAACACUCCUCUCCUGGAGAAUGGUGGGGAUAAAACAAUCUUCAGACAGCUGAAGUUGUGUGCAAGCACUGCAGAUUUGCUCUGGACGCACAGAGAUGGGAGACAACCUCUCAUUAACUCUCUCUGCCUUGAUACUGGGGGUAGUUGUGGUCCAGCCUAGAUUACCGUGAAAGAUGAACAACAUCCUGGCUGCCUUCCCUUGUGUCCAUCACUAGCUUUCAGUUUCUCUCCAGAAACACUCUAAUUGUUCCCAAUCUGCACUCUGGGGAUCACAUGUCAGACCAAAUGUGCACCAGUGAUGUGACUCAGUUCAUUAUGAAAGUUUGUUCUCUUUCUCAGAGUUGUGUCAUAAACACCACUUUGUGUUUUUUUUCAACAUUGGUAUACUUCCUUUAAAAAAAUAAAGAAGAAAUUAGGUCUUUGGUCAGCCUGCUGUGCAGCUGCUGGGGCAGCUCCAGAGGCUGCUGUGGUGGAAGGAGCUCCAGGAGGGUACGGGAGGGUUGUGCAGGGCACACAUGCCCUCCUUUCCUCCAGGAAGAGCAGGCGAAUGAAGCACUCAUGAGCUGGGUGGAAUUGUGGGUGAGGUUCAAGAUGCAAAGGCUUUCUCACUCAGCCAAUCACUGCAGAUAUUUUCAGGAAAAGAAAAAAAAAAAAAAAAAAAAAAAUCAAAUAAUAAGAUCAUGUAUUGUAUAAAAUAUCCAGCAGCAUCAAAAUGAUUUAGACAAUCAGGUCCCAUUUCUGGUAGUGAUUUAGGUCCAAGUUUGUGCUUGCUUAGGAGUUUUCUAAAUGUGGGAAGGGAAUUUAAUCCAAAUAAAUGUAAGAUGUCACAUUAGAGGGGACAAAUGUAAAUUAAAGUAGCCUUAAUCUGAUUGAGUAUGCUUCUGUUCCAAAGAGAAUUAAGCUAAAUGAAAUUGAAAUGAAUUAAUGGUGGUAUCCAUGCAAGGGGUUGAUCAGUAUAUUCGAUCUGCUUUAAAUUCUUGUUAUUUCACUUGUUCUAAGUAGAAAGCUGUUGGAUAACUGGCUUUCUUUGAAAUUAGUGGACUGUCUGAAAAAAAAAAUCCUGUGUUAAAAAUCUGGUGAUUUUAUUUUAAGGGAAAAUAAUUGAAAUUUAGUAGGACUUAACUUUGGAAAAGGACCCAACAGGUCCCAAAAUAUUUUAUGUGCUCCUGAAAAUUUUAUCUUGGCAAAAGAUGGAAGCUUUUUCCACCACACUGAAAGGAAAAGAGGCAAGGGUAGCAUUGUGUAGAGAAAGUAAGGUUUCCUGAGAGCAAAUGCUCUAUUCCUCCCCAAACCAAGAACCAUCCUUCUCUCUCUACACGUAUGCAUGCCCAAGUUUGUUGGAGCACUGCCUGCCUUUUAGGUGAAACGGAUCCUGUUGGGUGAAGCACAGAGUUCUUACAGGGGUGACAUUCUUUGGCACCUUCCUGUUUUGAUAGCAGUGUAUGUGCAUAAGGUGUCCUUUAGCCUCUUUUAAAAGAUGCUGCAGGGAAAUGGGACUGAAUGAGGUAGCUGCCUACGGGUCUAGAGCUGUUGUCUGUUACCACUAGGAAAACAGCAUUAUAAACAUGGACUCAGUGGCUGGCUUGACACUAAAAGACCUUUUCCUGUAAUAAAUAGUACCGACCUUUCUUUCCUCCUUCGGCUGAAGUUCCUGGGAAGAAGGUGCACGGUCUGUUAUUGUGGGCUGUUGCCAGCACCUCAGUCACUGUUCCUAGACCAAACGGCUAAGAUUAGUUACAUGAUUGAUCCAUUUGCUCUUUUCAGUGGCGUAGAGACUCCCACUUUUUCUUUAGGAGACUUCAAAAUAAGGUGACAACGACUGUCACUAACAGAAAGAGAGGAGACCAACUGCUCCUGUCACUACUGGGAGUCAGACCAUCUGUAUGUCUUCCUUCCCUUCCUCCUCUACUUAACAGACAGACUGAUUUCUCCUUCGACACAGGCAGUAUGCCAUUGUGCCAAUCAUUUCUGCUUCUUUCCUUCUUUUUCUCCCAUAUCCCACAGCCCUUCCGUCAUGCCCAAGUGUCACAAAGACUGAUACACUCCAAGCGAUGGCAUAUAUAUUCUCCAUAGACUUUCUGUCCCCGCUUAGCUGAUGAACGAUCUUUAGUUCAUACAGUCCCAAUUCCUUUAUUAGUAACUGGCUGCUCUACAAGGUGGCCACGUUCCUGGAGAACAGACGAGGUAUCUGUCCUCUCAGAGCACUAGCAGGCUCUGUGUGGUUCUUUUUUAUAUGUGCCCUUUUAAAAAUACUUUGGUCUACAGUGGUUUAGAUGGAGGAAAUUCAUGUGGCAAUAUGUGCUCAGCUUUUUCUUACGUGCUAAUCCCAUAUGAGAGCUGUACGGCUGCAGGAGUUGGUUGAGUGCUGGUUUGACCCAGGUCCAAACUUUACUGCUGUCUUCUCAGGAGAUUUUCCAUGAUUCCCAUGCUACAGAAAGGCUCAUGUGUCCCAAAACAAGAAUCCUACACAGCCCAGUACCAGUUGUAUUAGGAACGGCAGAGCUCAUGAAUGCCCUGUUAAAUGCAGGGGAUGCAGGGGUGGGUGUUAUUAAUGGUUCAUAUUUUCUUUGUUGUGAUCUGGAGUGUUCUUUAAUAAUUACUUUAGAGUAGAAAUAUAUGAAAAACUAUUAAUAUACUUUUGUGGAUACUUUCAUGUUUUUACUUAAAAGUUUUGGUAGUCGUUCAUAGGGUUGUAAACUGGUCAAAAUAGUAAAAAUGAAAGCAAACAAAUUCAAAUUAUGUUCUCUCUUUUUUUUUUUUUUGGACUGCUUACCAUUCAGUAUCAUUCCAGAAGAGUUUAGGGGAAGGGUUUUGGAGAUUUGUUUGGGGCAUUGAAAUAUUUCUAGCAAUCUGUAUUGACUCGUUAAAAUGCAAGUUGGUGUCCUUAUGAUUGCCUGUAUAUAAAGGUUGAAUUCCUGAUGCCCUUUUCUCACAGGAUCGUUUAAAUAGAGACCAAGUAACUUGGUGGGAGCCUGUCCUGAGAGCCUCACCUUGACACUGACAGAAAUCACCUGGCCUCUGCUAUUUGUAUUCUUCCAAAAAGGAAAUAUAUAUUAAGGAGUGUAUCAGAAGUUGUCUGACAGUCACAAGUUCAGCACUUCCACUGCCACUGAGACAUCCUUCGAGGUGAAGGAUAAGGGGUAGACUAGCUGAUGAGGAGGAAAAUAAUUGGUGGGUAGGUAAUUAAAAAGUGAGUUGCCCGAUACAAGAAAAAAACAUCAGGAGGGUGAUAUUAAGCUGCUAAGUGCCGGAAGCUAGGAGGAUGUAUGCUGGAUGGGUGCUGUGUAAUACCAUCUGUCCCUGGCUCUUGGUAAGAUCCAGUGCCUGGGCUUGGUGAAGCCUUGUACUGACACAGGGUGAGAACAUGUGGGCUUCAUCUGCUGUGACAGGCACCGGGAACGUGCCUCCUCAACCCAAACUCCCUCGCUCAGACACAGGGGUAGGUAUCAACCCCAUGGCCAGGUCAUGCCAAGCAGGGGCACCUGGAGUGCGUUGCUGGAAACCUGUUUUAGGGCAUUUCUGUUCCCAGAGUUAAAUAAAAAGAAAUCAGCAUGCAGUUCCCUCCAUGAGGAGCAAGCACAGACCUGGAGUACAUAUGCUGUUAUUGUAGGUUAAAAAAAAAUGCAGUAAACUGCUUAUCCAAGGCCAGGAAACAAAUGGAUGAUUUUUUUUAUUAUUCUUUUUUUCUGUAAUACGAAAAUAUAGUUAAGGGAGAAUUAAUCCCUUGGGCAUGAAGGGGUAAUUUUUGACCAAAGUUAAUUAUGAAGCACUGAAAUUACCAAAUGGAAGAUGAAAUGCACUCGCAGUUUGAUUUUAUUAGUGCAAUUCUACCUUAACAUGUACAGUACUGAACUAUCCAAAUAGUCCAAGUGAGACCUAUUGUACCAAAAAGCAAUUUAAAUACAGUGCUUAGCUAAUGUAACAAUAGUCGUUUUGUAAAAUAAUAAUUCUUAUCGAAUUAGGGUUUCUCUCAGCUCUGUUUCGCAAAGCAGCAGAGACAUUUUCAAUAAGUAUGAACACAAAUAAUGUUUCUGUCUAAAACCCAGUACCUUAAUGAAGAUUAAGAGAGCAAAAAUUAGAGAGGGGGGAGAGAAUUGUAUAAAAGAGGAAGUAUUUGGUGGGAAACGUGUCAUUUUUAAAGAGUAGUGUGUGAUCCUGAAACAUAGUUUAGUUUACAACAAACACUUGGGGAUUUCUGUCAGGUGUCAGCAAGGGAAAAAUAGUAGAAAAAUGGUCAUUUUAGCCUUGUAUCUAACUGGUGUUAUUUUUGGACUGAUAUGCCAGAAAGGAUGCAAUUAUUUUCUCUGUUAUACCAGUGCAAUCCCAGUAAUUUUGGCAGUCCUAUCAGCUUAAACUACAACAGACUUUUGCCUUGGAAUGAGCUUUACUUUCCACUUUGUAAGAAAUAUGUGAUAACUAUUUUAAUGUGACACAGCUAGGGCAGGAUUUAUAACACUAUCUCCAUUCAAGUCAAUGCAAACCUGUCAGUGUACAACUGAAAUGAGAGAACAGGUUCUUCAUUUCUAAACUUCAAGCUAAUUUAAGUGGACCCUGAUGAGUGUCUUUUGAACGGCAGAAGUCCUCAUCACUCCUAGACAACUAAUCUAGGAGACCAUGUGCAAUCUAACAAUUUUCUCAUGACAGCUAAAGCUUCCUGAAGAACUUGCUAUUGGAUGAGACUUUUCCAGAGUAGCAUUCACACUGAUUUCACAGCCACAGCCGCUUUGCUUUAGCCUUUCCUCUUGUUGACAUCCCUUCAAACCUGCUGCCCAUCCAUCUAUUAUAGAAGACAAGCCACAGCCCUCCCAAGUCAAAGGAAGCCUUUCCAUAAGGCUUCUUGUGGAUGGUGUACUGAACGCUUUACACAAUGCAUUUGAUAUAAGGUUUGGGGUUAAGGAUGCAGUUGCUUGCAGGGGCUUUCCAUCUGGUAGAAUAUUCCCAUUGCAGAGGGGACUUACUGUUCCCUCUUGUUGCCCCAGCAGAUCUCCUCUUAAUGGCUGUCACCUCUUUCACACCCGGCACCAGACAAGGGGGUUAGCUCUUGGUGUGUUUUCCUUCCCUAUUUUUAGCAGGUGAAGCCUAGAAACAGAUCAGAUAAUCAGGAGGCACACACCUGGCAAAUGGCAGAGGCAUUGACGGAGCUUUGCUGACUUAUCCCAGCUGUAUAAAUCAUGGCACUGCCCUGCUCACUGUGCUGCUAAUAGGAUCUGUCCAUAGACAGGCAGAUCCUUUUCAAGGAGGGCUAAUGGACAGUGAAAGCAGGCUUGGCAGGAAAGUGAGCCUGGCAUAAAGGUGCUUCGAUUGCUGAAGUAAAAAAUGAGAUCGGCUCAAACUAGGAAAAAAAAAGAAAAAGAAGUCAGACUUUGUGGUUGAGCAACCUGAAGUUGGGUGCAUGGCUCCUUUCAGAUGUAGUUGUGUCCCCUGUGCUGCAGCUAUGUGUGGGUGCAGGUCUGUGGGCACAGGAACAUCCACCAGAGCUACAUGGCCCUUCAGUGAAAACAGAAGAGUGGGAACAGGGAGCUGUGUAUCUUGCAUUUCUAAAACCUGAAGUGAAGAGCAAAGCAGGCAAAAUAAAAAUCUUUGCCUUACUCAGCACUCAGUACUUGCCUUUAAGGAGGGACUAUCUCCCCACUGAGCCUUUGCACGCGAGCCUGGACGCUCUCUCGCAAACCAAAGCCAGCUCCCGCAGCCAUGCAGAGCACAGCAUGGGAAUCACAGCUGGGGUUUCACUGCUGAAGAGCAGCAGUUAUCAACCAGCUUCCUGAAACCCGAGUGUUUAAUAUGGACUCCUCAUUAACCUGGUACAAAAUAGGAAAGGACAGUUUAGAUUCUUUCCUGCCCAAGUGAGAAGAUGCUGGGUAUUUUGUUUCCUACUGCUUUCUGCUCAUGCCUGAGGGCUUGGCUGUAUCAAGGCAAUAGCAGUUAUUAUUUAGCGUGAGCGAGGUACUUCGAGCUGUAUGAGUCCAUUGUGAUUAAAAAAUACACUUGUACAAAAACAUUAAUUGUACUUUAGACUGGAGACAGGAAUUGAUAGCUGUUGUAUAACUAUAUUAAAGAGAAGACAAAUGUAUCUAUAACUAUAAUGGGAUUCUUUCUUUUGAAAGCAGUACUUUGUAUACUUAUUAAGAGAAAUCAUAAAUAUUCACUGUGCCUACAGAAUCUUUAUUCUGAAUUUAUGGGUCAUAUGUAAUAGAGUUGUUUUCUUUAGGCCAGACAGGGUGACUGUGUUGUUUCCUCAUUACUUGAACUGAUUUUAUCUUCUUAAUGUGCAGUGUGCUGCUGCUCUGCUCCUCAUAUAUUAUAUAAAUCCAUACUAUAUUUUGCAGCAUGGAUUUAUCCCAUAGGUUUAUGCGGCACCUCUGGCAGCUUUGAAUAAUAAUAAUUUCCUACCAAAUGGCAUGGCUGAGGUCAUACUACAGGAAUGUCACUCCUUGCUUUCAGAUGGUGUUUGGACUCAAUUCUGCCUCUCUCACAGACGCAGUGCAUGUCUGAUGAGAACCCGUUUCUAAAUAUGACUCAAUAGUCAAACUCGUGUCCCUUAGGCAGCAGGGCAGUACUUAGAGCAAGAAGGGGGCUUGCUUGGCUUUCUGCAGUGUACCAUGCAAGCCCACCAUCAGAAUUAAUUGCCAUAUCGUCAUUGCACUUCGUAAGGUGCAUUGCAAGGGAGGCUGUCGUUUUGCCUUUAGGCAAAUCAUAGCAAUUCCCAUGGGCAGGAAUUGAAAAUACAUGUGCAGAUUCAGCUCAGAAAACAGGAUCUUUAUUUUUUCUGUACACACGCCUUACAAAUGCUGCAUGGAAAGCGUCAAACCACAAGUGGUGGAGCUGAUUGUGUUUAGAUCCUGCAAGCAUUCACACUAGAACCCAGUCUUGGUGGCCAGUUAGCCCAUCCUGAACAAGCUCUCAGGCCUCCAAUUGAAUUAGCAGAUGGUAGCCAUAAAGUAAAUAGGGGAAGCAAAUGCAUAAUGAAGUUGUGGACGUGUUAUCACAGGAUGUUCUGCACAUGAUGGAUGAAUUAUAAGAAGGAUUACACUCUCACUCUUCUUCUCACACACCUUCCUCAAGAACAUGUUUCUGCCUGCUUCUGUCAGAGGCUGGAUGGACCUCACAGCUAACUGCCAACAUUACCAAGCAUUAUCCAUGUCUGUCUCGAUCUCUAUUGGAAGGUUAUUAGGAUUUCUUCCACCCAGCAAAGGUGUUUGCUGAAAGCUGGAUUGCUCUGUGAGGUACCACCAUGAGCAAUCAGGUCCUGCUCAUCAUCCAUUUCAGCUUUGCAUCUUUGGGGAUCCCUACACAACUCAUAGUUGCUCCCAUGCCCUCUACUUCAUCCAUAAGGAUAAUAAUAUAUUAUUAGUGUGUGACCAAUAUCUGCAUGCUAUUUCUGGGUUCAGGAGUGAGUUGGCAUAGUGGUGUUACACUGGAGGUAGUUGGUGAACCAUCUUGUCACUUUUGCAUGCUCAUACCCCAUGAAGAGAGGAAUUGGAAAUGCAUCAGCUACUUGUGCUAGCAGCACAGGCAGAAGCUUGCAGGUGGUUCCUCUUUCUCUUUUCCAUCUUAGAAAAGUUGAGAGCCCAGGGACUUCACCAUCUUAUCUCCAGAUUCUGAUGAUGCCUCUGAAAUCGGCAGUCCUGAGUUCUUGUUCCCAGCUGAAUUGGGAUUAGUGUGACCAGCUUAAAAAAAUAAAAAAUUACCAAUACCAAAUGCAAAAGUGCCAUAUUAAAGGUGGAGCAUUGCUGGUUUGAAAGCCAAAGUGCCAGCCGCCAUUUCUUCCAGCAGCAGAUGUGGCUGCUAUAAAUACAUACGUAGCAUGGGUUUGCUGGCAGCUAAAAUAAUGUUUUACUUCAGCUGCAUGAGGACAUGGUGUCCUUGGAUAGAAGAAGUCAAACUCAUAAGCAUGUAUUUCGCACAGUGUUGUAUGGCUUUGGGUUCAUGCAGGAAAUGAGGAAGCAGAAAUGUGAUUACAACUCAAUAACAGCCAGAAAGUAGGUGAGUGUCUCCAAGAAAGCCUAAAAAACACAUUCAGAAAUGCAGCUCAGUUCUCCAGAGAGGAUAAACAAAUUUCUUGGGGUGUGGGCAGUAGCUGCAGAAGGAAAAGAGUUUUCUCCCAGGGCUAGACUAACACGAAUGGGUGUCAGGCUCAUGGGACCCAGCAGCUAUUUCACCAGCUGAAACUCUCCAUCUAGGCUGCAAUUCUCUUUCUGUUGUGUUGAAUUGACGUUGGUUCAUGAGUUCUCUCUUGUCUUUCACAAUACAAAAAGGAAAACACAUUCUCUCCCUCUUUCUCUGGUUUCAUGUCAUUAAGGACGGCUGUGGGAAGACUGGCUGAGGACAUGUUAUAAAGUGACACUGGGGAAUCAAGCAAGAAAGUAAACCAAAAAAAAAAAAAAAAAAAAAAAAAAAAAAA